AUACCUGUAGAAUUCUACCAACAUUGUUGGGAGGUGGUGAGUUCGGACUUAUUUCGCUUGUUUGAAUGGUUUUAUGAGGGUAGGCUGGAUGUGCAACGUUUAAACUAUGGGAUUAUCACGUUGCUUCCUAAAACUAAUGAUGCCAAAAAGAUACAGCAGUAUAGGCCCAUAUGCUUGUUACGAUGUCCCUAUAAAUUGAUCACUAAAGUCAUGGAUCUUAGGGCCAGUAAGGUGGCUGAUAAGAUGUUUAGCAUUCAACAAAAUGCCUUCAUCAAAGGAAGGCAUAUUGUGGACGGGAUCUUAUCCUUACAUGAGGUGCUGCACUAUACCCAUGUCAAAAAGCAGGUGGGAGUAGUCCUUAAGAUCGAUUUCAAAAAAGCUUAUGACAAAGUGGACUGGGAGGUCCUGCUUGAUUGUCAUGUUAAACGUGGCUUUAAUAACAAAUGGUGUGAGUGGGUCUCACAAAUCCUGAGAAAUGGGACAGUGAAUGUGAAAAUCAACGAUGAGAUGGGUGUUGGAAAUAUGCCCUAG
RNAcentral lists this ribosomal RNA (531 nucleotides) under Triticum aestivum (bread wheat). RNAcentral's name for it is "partial small subunit ribosomal RNA". Lineage: Eukaryota; Viridiplantae; Streptophyta; Magnoliopsida; Poales; Poaceae. The record is from RNAcentral.